Molecule: ribosomal RNA, 442 nt
Filed under: Streptococcus mitis
Lineage: Bacteria; Bacillati; Bacillota; Bacilli; Lactobacillales; Streptococcaceae
Description: bacterial SSU rRNA
Rfam family: Bacterial small subunit ribosomal RNA
Source: RNAcentral
GACGAACGCUGGCGGCGUGCCUAAUACAUGCAAGUAGAACGCUGAAGGAGGAGCUUGCUUCUCUGGAUGAGUUGCGAACGGGUGAGUAACGCGUAGGUAACCUGCCUGGUAGCGGGGGAUAACUAUUGGAAACGAUAGCUAAUACCGCAUAAUAGCGGUUAUUGCAUGAUAACUGUUUGAAAGGUGCAAAUGCAUCACUACCAGAUGGACCUGCGUUGUAUUAGCUAGUUGGUGGGGUAACGGCUCACCAAGGCGACGAUACAUAGCCGACCUGAGAGGGUGAUCGGCCACACUGGGACUGAGACACGGCCCAGACUCCUACGGGAGGCAGCAGUAGGGAAUCUUCGGCAAUGGACGGAAGUCUGACCGAGCAACGCCGCGUGAGUGAAGAAGGUUUUCGGAUGUAAAGCUUCUGUUGUAAGAGAAGAACGAGUGUGAGAGU